Long non-coding RNA from Dermochelys coriacea (leatherback sea turtle), 563 nucleotides. RefSeq lists it as uncharacterized. The transcript has 3 exons. The record is from RefSeq and is a predicted model, not a curated record. NCBI's taxonomy places the organism in Eukaryota, Metazoa, Chordata, Testudines, Dermochelyidae.
GUCACAUGUUCUUGUCAACGGGCCCAUCGUGGUUAUCACUACAAAAGUGCUGAACUUCCUAGCAUACUCUCACAGGACCUGAUUCAACUGUUAUUGCAUGCAAGGAAUUUUCACGGACUUCAUUACGAGUAGUUCAUGAAGCGUAGAUUUGAUAUCAUGCCAGAGAUGCUGAACUGACAAGUCCUAUCUUGGCUAGCAGUUCAAAGGAAGCAGCAGUGAGCCUGAUCAUUCCCCCAAGAUAUGCCUGCAAAGGGAAGUCUUCCUGUAUGCAUCUCCCAUUCCCGCAUGGAAAGGAGCGCCAACCAACUCCACAGCACCAUCUUCCCGUUCUCAGAUGGAAUGGCUGGCACUCCACAGUCUGAUGAUCCAUUCAAGCACAAUGGGUGUGUACUGGGUAUGAAGUUCAUCAUUUUUCCACUCCCCGCAUAGAGGAUAUAUGAUCUGUGGCUGUAUCACUUUUCUGCCCUUUUAUCCCCCACUCAGAUGGGAAUCUUGAAUACAGAGGGUGGUCCUGGGGGGCUUCCAGGGAACAAAGGGUGGAGUUCCAGACACCCAGAGUUGAU